RNAcentral lists this ribosomal RNA (497 nucleotides) under uncultured bacterium. RNAcentral's name for it is "partial 16S ribosomal RNA". It matches the Rfam family "Bacterial small subunit ribosomal RNA", at positions 28 to 507 of the family's 1533-position model. The record is from RNAcentral.
GAUGAACGCUGGCGGCGUGCCUAAUACAUGCAAGUCGAGCGAACAGACGAUGAGCUUGCUCCUCUGACGUUAGCGGCGGACGGGUGAGUAACACGUGGAUAACCUACCUAUAAGACUGGGAUAACUUCGGGAAACCGGCGCUAAUACCGGAUAAUAUCUUGAACCGCAUGGUUCAAUAGUGAAAGACGGCUUUUCUGUCACUUAUAGAUGGAUCCGCGCCGCAUUAGCUAGUUGGUAAGGUAACGGCUUACCAAGGCAACGAUGCGUAGCCGACCUGAGAGGGUGAUCGGCCACACUGGAACUGAGACACGGUCCAGACUCCUACGGGAGGCAGCAGUAGGGAAUCUUCCGCAAUGGGCGAAAGCAUGACGGAGCAACGCCGCGUGAGUGAUGAAGGUCUUCGGAUCGUAAAACUCUGUUAUUAGGGAAGAACAAAUGUGUAAGUAACUAUGCACGUCUUGACGGUACCUAAUCAGAAAGCCACGGCUAACUACGUG